GUACAGGUGUAACAUUGUCGGUAGGGUGUGGCCGUAUGAUGGACAACAGACAACUCUCCUGCCUGCCUGAUGAAUACAGCGAUGUGAACCACAGAUGAAACAAGUUGACGAAAGCAUUUAUGGGCAAAAACCUCUAUAUGAAUGAAUGUGUUUGUGCAGUGCAACACAACACAAUGGCCACACACCAGGGUGUGGACACUUCCAUGCUCCGUAGCGCCAUCUGACGUCACUGCAACAUCGAUCACCUAUGCUCAACGCUGUGUUCAAUGGUAACGGACCGUCAGUGUGUUUUUUCCUGUAAAACCUGAAGGCAGACUACAGAAAAGCCAGUUGGCCAGGUAAAGCAGUCUAAAAGACCAUGCAGGUUCUGGAGCUUUCUGAGGGACCUUUUUGGGCUAAUGAAGCAGAUGAUGGACUUUCAGAGGAACACAGUGACGGCGUGCCCUCGGAGACCGUCUCAGCCUAACGCACCGGGUGUAGGACAGACGUGCUGUCUGGCCACACAACCAGGACAAGUCCUGGCCCACGGACCUGACGGACCUCAGCAAAACUGCCAUGCUUUAGCUCAGCCAGCCACACAGCAGAAAGAGGAGGCGCACCAGCCCAUGUGCUUAAAGCACUACUGGUCCCAGGAGAUAGCAGAGCUUCCUCGACCCAUCCAGCAUCCAGGUGAGUCUUUAGAAAUGAAACAAUUCAUUCUAACACAAUGUCUGGUUUUCAGUGAGUCGGAGAAGAGAGUGACUGAUAAGAAGCCAACAGGAAAGGUGUCUCCUCCGACAGGAAGUCCCACUCCAGAGCUCCGCCCUCAUCAGUGCAACACAACACAAUGGCCAGACACCUGGGUGUGGACACUUCCAUGCUCCGUAGAGCCAUCUGGAACUAUAUUCAGGGCAAGUUUGGGAUUCGGUCCAAGGCCAGGUGAAUCAUUAAAAAAAAGAAACACACUUCCACUUGUAUGUACGGAAUACGAUACGAUGACUACGGCUACAGCAGUGGGCGGUUUAACAUACGCUUCUGGCAUGUGUGCGCUGAGAUGCUGGACCAGAGGAGGACAGACAUGCUACGGCCCCUAUUUGUCAGAAGGGAGUUGGUGA
Molecule: long non-coding RNA, 1094 nt
Filed under: Carassius auratus (goldfish)
Lineage: Eukaryota; Metazoa; Chordata; Actinopteri; Cypriniformes; Cyprinidae
Description: lncRNA (ENSCARG00000067631.1)
Source: RNAcentral